This 76-nucleotide small RNA is filed under the name Flavobacterium sp. 81. RNAcentral describes it as "Flavo-1 RNA". It matches the Rfam family "Flavo-1 RNA". The record is from RNAcentral. RNAcentral also lists the same sequence under 1 other name. Lineage: Bacteria; Pseudomonadati; Bacteroidota; Flavobacteriia; Flavobacteriales; Flavobacteriaceae.
CCCUAGCCCUGAUAGAAACGGCAUCCUUUUAUGGCGGGGUUCGACAUAAAAGAUAGAGUGAAUAGCAGGAAAUAGC